Molecule: long non-coding RNA, 431 nt
Organism: Pogoniulus pusillus (Red-fronted tinkerbird)
Lineage: Eukaryota; Metazoa; Chordata; Aves; Piciformes; Lybiidae
Exons: 2
Source: RefSeq, a predicted model, not a curated record
UGGUGCAAGGUGUCUGGGUUCUCGUUCAGCUCCAGCCGGGCUUUCUCCAGAGUCUCCGGGGAGAGACCUGCCUGCAAGGAAGUUUGAUGCUGCAGUCGGCUUUCAGAAGUUUCCACUGAAGAACAUUUGACCUUUGUCGGAGGGGCUGGACCUUUCCGAUGCAAAUCUGACUGAAAACGAAGCUUGCACGACAGAUAGAGCAAAUACAGGAGAAGACAGCAUGCACCUCCUCCUGCUCCUCCUUCUAAGAGGAAGCACAGUGCAUGGCUACUGCAUUGGGCUCCUCUCCCAAGAUGACACAGCCAGAGCACACAGACUGAAUUAUUGAAAAGGCGCUGAGCUCACUGGUCUGUGGAGAGAGUGUAUGUGGGGAGUGCACCAGUGUGAGUGCUCCCUGUCUUCUCAGGCAAAUAAAGAUGCUCAUGAAAACA